UAGAGGAAGUAAAAGUCGUAACAAGGUCUCCGUAGGUGAACCUGCGGAGGGAUCAUUACACAAAUAUGAAGGCAGAUUGGGUAGUCCCCGCUUUUGGGGGUUUGCCCAUUCUGGCGCCAUAUUCACCCAUGUCUUUUGCGUACUACUUGUUUCCUUGGCGGGCUCGCCCGCCAAUUGGACUUUAUUCAAACCUUUUUUUUAUUGCAAUCAGCGUCAGCAAAACAAUGUAAUCAAUUACAACUUUCAACAACGGAUCUCUUGGUUCUGGCAUCGAUGAAGAACGCAGCGAAAUGCGAUAAGUAGUGUGAAUUGCAGAAUUCAGUGAAUCAUCGAAUCUUUGAACGCACAUUGCGCCCUUUGGUAUUCCAAAGGGCAUGCCUGUUCGAGCGUCAUUUGUACCCUCAAGCUUUGCUUGGUGUUGGGCGUCUUUUGUCUCUCCCCCGAGACUCGCCUUAAAAACAUUGGCAGCCGGCCUACUGGUUUCGGAGCGCAGCACAUUAUUUGCGCUCUUGUCCAGCCGCGGUCGCGCGUCCAUGAAGCCUUUUUUUUCAACCUUUUGACCUCGGAUCAGGUAGGGAUACCCGCUGAACUUAAGCAUA
This 599-nucleotide ribosomal RNA is filed under the name Ascomycota sp. UNEX FECRGA 2012E363. Its description in RNAcentral is "eukaryotic LSU rRNA". The stretch from base 239 to 392 matches the Rfam family "5.8S ribosomal RNA". The record is from RNAcentral. Lineage: Eukaryota; Fungi; Ascomycota.